Molecule: transfer RNA, 76 nt
Filed under: Nematostella vectensis (starlet sea anemone)
Lineage: Eukaryota; Metazoa; Cnidaria; Anthozoa; Actiniaria; Edwardsiidae
Rfam family: tRNA
About the family: Transfer RNA (tRNA) molecules are approximately 80 nucleotides in length. Their secondary structure includes four short double-helical elements and three loops (D, anti-codon, and T loops).
Source: Rfam by way of RNAcentral
GGGGAUGUAGCUCAAUGGUUUAGCGUCCGUCCGCUUUGCAUGCGGAAGUCCCGGGGCUCCAUCCCCCGCAUCUCCA